AUUGAACGCUGGCGGCAGGCCUAACACAUGCAAGUCGAACGAGUGGCGGACGGGUGAGUAAUGUCUGGGAAACUGCCUGAUGGAGGGGGAUAACUACUGGAAACGGUAGCUAAUACCGCAUACCAUCGGAUCUGCCCAGAUGGGAUUAGCUAGUUGGUGGGGUAACGGCUCACCAAGGCGACGAUCCCUAGCUGGUCUGAGAGGAUGACCAGGCACACGGGAACUGUGAAACGGGGCAGACUCCUACGGGAGGCAGCAGUGGGGAAUAUUGCACAAUGGGCGCAAGCCUGAUGCAGCCAUGCCGCGUGUAUGAAGAAGGCCUUCGGGUUGUAAAGUACUUUCAGCGGGGAGGCGUUACCUGCAGAAGAAGCACCGGCUAACUCCGUGCCAGCAGCCGCGGUAAUUC
RNAcentral lists this ribosomal RNA (406 nucleotides) under uncultured bacterium. RNAcentral's name for it is "partial 16S ribosomal RNA". It matches the Rfam family "Bacterial small subunit ribosomal RNA", at positions 30 to 526 of the family's 1533-position model. The record is from RNAcentral.